Molecule: ribosomal RNA, 466 nt
Filed under: uncultured bacterium
Lineage: Bacteria
Description: partial 16S ribosomal RNA
Rfam family: Bacterial small subunit ribosomal RNA
Source: RNAcentral
GACGAACGCUGGCGGCGCGCCUAACACAUGCAGGUCGAACGAGCGAGAGAGAGCUUGCUUUCUCGAGCGAGUGGCGAACGGGUGAGUAACGCGUGAGGAACCUGCCUCAAAGAGGGGGACAACAGUUGGAAACGACUGCUAAUACCGCAUAAGCCCACGGUGCCGCCUGGCACAGAGGGAAAAGGAGCAAUCCGCUUUGAGAUGGCCUCGCGUCCGAUUAGCUAGUUGGUGAGGUAAUGGCCCACCAAGGCGACGAUCGGUAGCCGGACUGAGAGGUUGAACGGCCACAUUGGGACUGAGACACGGCCCAGACUCCUACGGGAGGCAGCAGUGGGGAAUAUUGCACAAUGGGGGAAACCCUGAUGCAGCGACGCCGCGUGGAGGAAGAAGGUCUUCGGAUUGUAAACUCCUGUUGUUGGGGAAGAUAAUGACGGUACCCAACAAGGAAGUGACGGCUAACUACGUA